UCAGUCUUUCGGGGACCGUGACGCUGGGAAGGUUCCGGCCGGGCCGAGGACGUCGCAUCUCCCUGUCCUCCUCCCCUUGGACCAUUCCCUGAAGCCCCUCAAUAAAAUGGUUUGAUCCCAGCG
This is a non-coding RNA of Callorhinus ursinus (northern fur seal), 123 nucleotides long. Lineage: Eukaryota; Metazoa; Chordata; Mammalia; Carnivora; Otariidae. The record is from RefSeq and is a predicted model, not a curated record.